RNAcentral lists this ribosomal RNA (305 nucleotides) under uncultured bacterium. RNAcentral describes it as "bacterial SSU rRNA". It matches the Rfam family "Bacterial small subunit ribosomal RNA", at positions 333 to 631 of the family's 1533-position model. The record is from RNAcentral.
UUUGUCCUACGGGGGGCAGCAGUGGGGAAUAUUGCACAAUGGGCGCAAGCCUGAUGCAGCAACGCCGCGUGAGCGAAGAAGGUCUUCGGAUCGUAAAGUUCUGUUGAAGGGGAAAAAGAGCGGAGAGAGGAAAUGGUCUCCGAUUGAUAUUACCCUUCGAGGAAGUCACGGCUAACUACGUGCCAGCAGCCGCGGUAAUACGUAGGUGGCGAGCGUUAUCCGGAAUGAUUGGGCGUAAAGGGUGCGUAGGCGGCCUGCUAAGUCUGGAGUGAAAGGUACCGGCUCAACCGGUACAGGCUCUGGAA